AGAGUUUGAUCAUGGCUCAGAACGAACGCUGGCGGCAUGCCUAACACAUGCAAGUCGAACGGGGAUCCUAGCUUGCUAGGUGAGAGUGGCGGACGGGUGAGUAACACGUGGGAAUCUGCCUUUUGGUUCGGGAUAACCGCGGGAAACUGCGGCUAAUACCGAAUGCCCUCGAGAGAGGAAAGAUUUAUCGCCAGAAGAGGAGCCCGCGUCCGAUUAGGUAGUUGGUGGGGUAAAGGCCUACCAAGCCGACGAUCGGUAGCUGGUCUGAGAGGAUGAUCAGCCACACUGGGACUGAGAUACGGCCCAGACUCCUACGGGAGGCAGCAGGUGGGGAAUAUUGGACAAUGGGGGCAACCCCUGAUCCAGCAAUGCCGCGUGAGUGAUGAAGGCCUUAGGGUUGUAAAGCUCUUUUGCCAGGGAAGAUGAUGACUGUACCUGGAGAAUAAGCCCCGGCUAACUUCGUG
RNAcentral lists this ribosomal RNA (464 nucleotides) under uncultured bacterium. RNAcentral describes it as "bacterial SSU rRNA". It matches the Rfam family "Bacterial small subunit ribosomal RNA", at positions 8 to 507 of the family's 1533-position model. The record is from RNAcentral.